GCCUCACUGGCGCAAUGGUUAGCGUACGAGCCUUCUAAGCUCGGGGUUGCGGGUUCGAGUCCCGCGUGAGGUU
This is a non-coding RNA of Clonostachys rhizophaga, 73 nucleotides long. NCBI's taxonomy places the organism in Eukaryota, Fungi, Ascomycota, Sordariomycetes, Hypocreales, Bionectriaceae. The record is from the annotation of a GenBank genome assembly.